UACGAAGGGGGCUAGCGUUGUUCGGAAUUACUGGGCGUAAAGAGCUCGUAGGCGGUUUGUCGCGUCUGCUGUGAAAGACCGGGGCUCAACUCCGGUUCUGCAGUGGGUACGGGCAGACUAGAGUGAUGUAGGGGAGAGUGGAAUUCCCGGUGUAGCGGUGAAAUGCGCAGAUAUCGGGAAGAACACCCGUGGCUGAGGCGGCUCUCUAGUGCGGUACUGACGCUGAGACGCGAAAGCGUGGGGAGCGAACAGG
RNAcentral lists this ribosomal RNA (253 nucleotides) under uncultured bacterium. Its description in RNAcentral is "partial 16S ribosomal RNA". It matches the Rfam family "Bacterial small subunit ribosomal RNA", at positions 524 to 776 of the family's 1533-position model. The record is from RNAcentral.